GCAACAGGAAGGUGUGACGCGUACCGAACAAAAGUAGGGAAGUCUCUGUAGGGGCUGUCAAGAAAAGCCGCUAUUGUGUAAUAUGUGCCCGUACCGUAAACCGACACAGGUGGAUGAGGAGAGAAUCCUAAGGCCGGCGGGAGAAGCAUUGUUAAGGAACUCGGCAAAAUGACCCCGUAACUUCGGGAUAAGGGGUGCCUGAGAAAUCAGGCCGCAGAGAAUAGGCUCAAGCAACUGUUUAGCAAAAACACAGGUCUAUGCAAAACCGAAAGGUGAGGUAUAUGGGCUGACGCCUGCCCGGUGCUGGAAGGUUACGAGGAGGGGUUAGCGGCAACGCGAAGCUCUGAAUUUAAGCCCCAGUAAACGGCGGCCGUAACUAUAACGGUCCUAAGGUAGCGAAAUUCCUUGUCGGGUAAGUUCCGACCCGCACGAAAGGCGUAAUGAUUUGAGCGCUGUCUCGACAAUGCACCCGGUGAAAUUGAAAUACCAGUGAAGAUGCUGGUUACCUGCGCCAGGACGGAAAGACCCCAUGGAGCUUUACUCCAGCUUGAUACUGGGAUUCGGUGCUGCAUGUACAGGAUAGGUGGGAGGCAAUGAAACAGGGACGCCAGUCUCUGUGGAGCCGAUGUUGGGAUACCACCCUUGCGGUAUUGGAUUUCUAACCUGCAGCCAUGACCUGGCUGGGGGACAAUGUCAGGCGGGGAGUUUGACUGGGGCGGUCGCCUCCGAAAGAGUAUCGGAGGCGCUCAAAGGUUCCCUCAGAAUGGACGGAAACCAUUCGAAGAGUGCAAAGGCAUAAGGGAGCUUGACUGCGACACCGACGGGUGGAGCAGGUAGGAAACUAGGACUUAGUGAUCCGGUGGUAUAAAGUGGGAUUGCCAUCGCUCAACGGAUAAAAGCUACCCUGGGGAUAACAGGCUUAUCACUCCCAAGAGUUCACAUCGACGGAGUGGUUUGGCACCUCGAUGUCGGCUCAUCGCAUCCUGGGGCUGUAGUAGGUCCCAAGGGUUGGGCUGUUCGCCCAUUAAAGCGGUACGCGAGCUGGGUUCAGAACGUCGUGAGACAGUUCGGUCCCUAUCCGGCGUGGGCGUAGGAUAUUUGAGAGGAGCUGUCCUUAGUACGAGAGGACCGGGAUGGACUGACCUCUGGUGUAUCUGUUGGUGAUCAACACCAUGGCAGAGUAGCCAAGUCGGGAAGGGAUAAACGCUGAAGGCAUCUAAGCGUGAAGCCCCCCUCAAGAUGAGAUAUCCCAUCGCAAGAGUAAGACCCCUUGAAGACGACGAGGUAGAUAGGGCAGAGGUGGAAGCAUG
RNAcentral lists this ribosomal RNA (1310 nucleotides) under Lacrimispora amygdalina. RNAcentral's name for it is "bacterial LSU rRNA". It matches the Rfam family "Bacterial large subunit ribosomal RNA", at positions 1550 to 2877 of the family's 2925-position model. The record is from RNAcentral. Lineage: Bacteria; Bacillati; Bacillota; Clostridia; Lachnospirales; Lachnospiraceae.